Molecule: ribosomal RNA, 440 nt
Filed under: uncultured bacterium
Lineage: Bacteria
Description: partial 16S ribosomal RNA
Rfam family: Bacterial small subunit ribosomal RNA
Source: RNAcentral
CCUACGGGAGGCAGCAGUGGGGGAUAUUGCACAAUGGGGGGAACCCUGAUGCAGCGACGCCGCGUGGGUGAAGAAGCGCCUCGGCGCGUAAAGCCCUGUCAGCAGGGAAGAAAAUGACGGUAACUGAAGAAGAAGCCCCGGCUAACUACGGGCCAGCAGCCGCGGGAAUACGUAGGGGGCAAGCGUUUGCCGGAUUUACUGGGUGUAAAGGGGCCGCAGACGGCGAUGCAAGCACGGAGUGAAAGCCCGGGGCCCAACCCCGGGACUGCCCUUGGAACUGCGUGGCUGGAGUGCAGGAGGGGCAGGCGGAAUUCCUGGUGUAGCGGUGAAAUGCGUAGAUAUCAGGAGGAACACCGGUGGCGAAGGCGGCCUGCUGGACUGCAACUGACGUUGAGGCCCGAAAGCGUGGGGAGCAAACAGGAUUAGAUACCCCGGUAGUC